UUUCCUACGGGAGGCAGCAGUGGGGAAUAUUGGGCAAUGGGCGCAAGCCUGGCCCAGCAACGCCGCGUGAAGGAAGAAGGCUUUCGGGUUGUAAACUUCUUUUGUCAGGGACGAAGCAAGUGACGGUACCUGACGAAUAAGCCACGGCUAACUACGUGCCAGCAGCCGCGGUAAUACGUAGGUGGCAAGCGUUAUCCGGAUUUACUGGGUGUAAAGGGCGUGUAGGCGGGGAGGCAAGUCAGAUGUUAAAACCACGGGCUCAACCUGUGGCCUGCAUUUGAAACUGUUUUUCUU
This 294-nucleotide ribosomal RNA is filed under the name uncultured bacterium. RNAcentral describes it as "partial 16S ribosomal RNA". It matches the Rfam family "Bacterial small subunit ribosomal RNA", at positions 335 to 643 of the family's 1533-position model. The record is from RNAcentral.